AAAAUGUGGAGUAGCUGUAAUAAAUCUACUCCUGUAUUAUGCUUUACAGUGCAGGUCUUAGUUUUUCUUUUUUCUCAUUUCUUUUGAAAUGGCAUCUCGAACAAAGUCCACCAAUCCCUUUACAAAAGAAUGAACUGCUCCUCUGUGUGUACUUCAUAGAAGGUUAGUGACAGUUAUUCCUGAAAUACAGGAGCAGAGUACAGUCUGUUGUGGUUUCCCGGAUUCCGCGCCUAGCUCAGCCAAUUAAGCAUGAGACAUAGGCCAUUGAGCCACUUAGUAGUUAUGCGAGUGGAUAGAUUGGUAUGUAGAGGGAAAGAGGUCUGCUGUAAAGAACAACACUUGUUUGUCUGUGGGGAAAGAAAAGCAGAAUACUUGAGAUGAAAGUUGGCAUACAAAUAGGAUACUAUCGCCAGUAGUUAUAUUACAAACAUUAUCGGCCUUUCUAGUGUGAAUGAACAUUAGACACAUUAUUGUCAUUCCUAGUUUAAAGUUAAGGUUGCGUGGUUGGAUUUUUCCACUAUCUUUUUCUAAUUUUUCUACCAUUUGGAGACCGUAGGCAUUUGGGCCUGUCACCCCUUGGAUGGGUUCCUAGUUUGUUUACAUUUUCCUGAACCCUCCUGAGCGCCCGUUCUUGGUCUAAUCCCCAGUCGUGAUGAUUCCACACUUCCUCAGCCGCAUGUUGUCUUGCCUCAUUCAUGAGCUGGUCAGCGUUUCGUCUCUUUAACUGACAUGUUCCCCAGUGCUGUUUGAACUGUUGAGUUUCCGUUGCUGGCUGAGUGCGUUUUGUCCUUCACGUAACCUUCGCUGGUAAAAAUAAGCCCAUGUGAUGUCCACCAGUGGAUGAAUGCUGGACCGAGAGCCCUAGCUUCUGGAUCCAGGUCUAGGCCCUUCAUCUGCUGCUCUGUGGCCCAGGGCAGGUUUGCUUGACCUCUGCCUCAGUUCUCGACUCUAAAGGACAUACUGACCUACCUCACAGGGGUGUUGUGAGGAUUAAUAAAUGUUGGUACUCUGCUUUGGA
RNAcentral lists this long non-coding RNA (1018 nucleotides) under Homo sapiens (human). RNAcentral's name for it is "HSALNT0376320". Lineage: Eukaryota; Metazoa; Chordata; Mammalia; Primates; Hominidae. The record is from RNAcentral.